GGAUGUGAGGGCAAUCUGGCUACAACAUGUGUCACCCCAUUAAUCACCCAGGGUCAGUUCAGCUGAUCUGGCUCAUUGACAGCUGUCCUCUUCCUCCCUCAUCACUCCAUGUGCAUCCCUCCUGAAAUGGUGCCCUGGCUCAAAGAGGACUACCUUCCCAAAUAGAGGACUGGUCUUUGGUCAAGGAUAGCUGCACUCCCCUCCUAGAAUCUCCAAACAAGCUUUCAAAUUCAUGGCCUCUUUUUCCCAUUGUACUCUUAUCAGUAAUUGUUACACACGCACACACACACACACACACACA
RNAcentral lists this small nuclear RNA (301 nucleotides) under Peromyscus maniculatus bairdii (prairie deer mouse). RNAcentral's name for it is "7SK RNA (ENSPEMG00000007418.2)". It matches the Rfam family "7SK RNA", at positions 1 to 296 of the family's 331-position model. From Rfam's summary of the family: 7SK was discovered as an abundant small nuclear RNA in the mid-70s but a possible function has only recently been suggested. Lineage: Eukaryota; Metazoa; Chordata; Mammalia; Rodentia; Cricetidae. The record is from RNAcentral.